CAUGAAGAGGCUGAAGGUGCAGCUGAAGAGGCCAAAGGAUGCUAACCGCCCCUACUGAAGCAUUGUGGGAAACUCUGGAUAAGCAAGGUCUAGCACAGAGCCAGUCAAAUCCACCACAGUCUCGCGCUGAGCUAGGAAAAAAGUUCACGUAAUGACAGGAAAGUGGAGAAUACAGUCCCCCAGUCCGGCAUCAGCUGAAUGGGCCACAUUUAGAGAAAUAUAUAUAUAUAUAUUAAAUAAAUAUAUAUAGGAACGAGAACUGUUGGAUUACACCUUUAACAUAUCAGCAAAUAUCAGUCAAGCUGAAGACUUCAGACUUACUCUCUUUCUGAUUGUUUAGACUGUACCAUUUCUUUAAGAAAAGUCACGUCAGCUGGGUUCGAAAGGACAUAAGCUUGAAACAGAAACAUAAAUAACAACAACAACAACAAAACCACAGACAAAAUCACGACAGGAGCAAGAUCGUCUAGGAUUUCUGCAGUGAAACUGAUGUUACCACAGCGGCUUUUCUCCAAACAGGAAAUGCAAACCUUGAUACUGACAAGAGGAGUGCCUGUUUGCCACCAAGGAUGCAGUUGCUAUGGAAACCCCAUGGCACCAGUCACUAAGCAUCUUUAUCUGUCAUUCCUUAGCUAUAUAGGGACCAAAGGACAUAACUUUUUAUCGCAGACUUGUAGCUGUAUGUAAAUUACAGAAGUUCUUUCCUUUUCUCAUGAGCUGUUCCUAUAACAGGUUUUGAGAGCAAUUAUAUGAAAUAUGUAAAAACUAAAAAAAAAACAACCGCUUAAACGCUUUUAAAAAAAAUGGCAAGAUAAUAGUUCUUUGAUACUUGGGGAGGAUCUUUGGUUAUACAUUAAUUAAGAGUCUAUGAAACUUUCGUAUGGUUUUCUGUAUAAUAUGUAUGGAUUGAGUGCUUAGAAGGGGAAGGUUGAGGUGGGUAUCUGGAAAGCAGACAAAGGAAAAGGAGAAACCCACAAAAAUAAGCAGAUCACUGGACUGGAAAGUGAUGGUGAUGAUGAUGAUGAUGAUGAUGAUGAAGAAGAAGGCGCAGAAGACGAAGACAAGAAGGCUGAUGCAAAGUAGAAAGAACACAAGUUUGUAAAUGCUUCUGACUCCACCCGCCCUAAAAUAGCUGUACAGAAUUUAAAAAAGAAAAAAAAGUUUAAAAUACCUAUAUAAUAGGGGGGAAAGGAUUAGAUGACAUAAAAAAGCAAAAAUAAAAAAAAUAAAAAAGCAAAAAAAAUAUACAUAGAGGUUAGCAUUAAUGCUAAAAAAAAAAAAAUCCACAAAGAUGUUGUAGAACUGUAACUUUUGUAGAGUUUAGAAUGAAAUCAGUUCCUGCUCUCAGCCAACUGCUGUUGGAAGCUGUGUCUUAUUGGGGGUGGGGGGAAGGGGGGGCAAAGGAGAAGAUGGCUGAUCUCGGCAGCUUUUUAAACUGCAAGCAUUCCAGCUAGUAAUAAAUAAAUAAAACUAAUAAGCAAACGAAACAAAACAAAAAAAUCUCAAUUCCUGUAGGCAACGCAAAGGGGGGCGGGGGACUUGACGGCUAUCUUCUUGCAGACUAUCGGAAGUUAGUUCGAACUUGACGAAAAAAUAAAUAAACUGGAAAAAGAAAACCACAGCUAAGACGCUUUCAUGUUUCCAUAAGCUGUCGCCAGCAACCUCCAAUCAUCUUUCGCUUCAGUAGCUUCCAUAUUUGCUCUAGAACCCUUCAGGACGGGGGUGGGGUGGGAGCGGGGUUUAGCCUAGAACCUUAAUCUUAAAAAAAAAACCACAAAAAACAUUUAAAAAAAAAUAUUUAAAACACAAAAACAAAAAACAAAAAAAAUUACAAAAAUGCAAUCUCUUUGAAGAAUUUCUGAAACUGUUUACAAGGAAUUUUGAAAAACAGGGGGAUGUUUAAAAAUAAAAGAUGCUGGCUCUGUUUUUCUGUAAAUAAAUUUGCAUAUUUUGUAGGACUUUUAAUUGUAAUGAUAGAGAAAAAAAAUCAAGGAAAACUAUUUAAGGAAAGCACGAUAUUUAUCUUUGGUAAAUGACUUUAGAGCAGUUUAAAAAAAAGUUGCUUUAAAAUCUGAAUCAGAAAAAUAGAAACAAUGAAUUAUUUAAGAACACAUAUAUUUUAAAGUAUAUCAUAUUUAUUAUAAUUUAUUUCCACUGUGUUAAAACUUGAUUUUUAAGGGUGUGUUUUUUCCCCUUUACUCCAUUUUAUUGGACCGAGAACAACGACACUGUUCUUUUACGAAUAAUUGUUUGCCUUUUCGUUCAGAUUUGGGGGAUUUCUUAUUUUGUUUUUUAAAGAAACUGUUCUCUGUCUUUCUCCCUGUUGGGCCUGAUUUUGAAGUCUUUAUACUGGCUAAACACCCCCCUGGUCUUCUCUGGUUGUUUGGCUGGGUUGAGACCACUGAAACAAGCCCCUAAUCUAGGUGUGUAAAUGACUUCGCAGUUCCAUACAACUGCUCUCUGAUUCUCAAUUCCCUAAAACUCCUUGUAAUCUUCUGUAAUUAUUGAAUGACGCUUACCAGCUUAGCCCUAAAUAAAGCACAGUUUA
Podarcis muralis (Common wall lizard) is the source of this 2548-nucleotide non-coding RNA. The record is from RefSeq and is a predicted model, not a curated record. Lineage: Eukaryota; Metazoa; Chordata; Lepidosauria; Squamata; Lacertidae.